AACGAACGCUGGCGGCAUGCCUAACACAUGCAAGUCGAACGAUUGCCCUCGGGUGAUAGUGGCCCACGGGUGCGUAACGCGUGGGAUUCUGCCCUUAGGUUCGGCAUAACAGCUGGAAACGUCUUCUAAUACCGGAUGAUAUCGCGAUAUCAGAGGUUUAUUGCCUGAGGUUUAUGCCGCGUUGGAUAAGUUAGUUGGUGGGUUACAGGCAUACCAAGGCGGCGAUCCAUAGCUGGUCUGGGAGGAUGCUCAGCGACACUGGGACUGAGCCCCGGCCCAGACUGGGACGGAGGGGAGGAGUGGGGAAGAUUGGACACCGAGCGCAAGCUUGAUCCAGCAUGGCCGCGUGAGUGAUGAAGGCGGUAGGUUUGGAACGCUCUGUUACCAGGGAAGAUAAUGACGGUACCGGGGGAAUAGGCCCCGGCUAACUCCGU
RNAcentral lists this ribosomal RNA (434 nucleotides) under uncultured bacterium. RNAcentral's name for it is "partial 16S ribosomal RNA". It matches the Rfam family "Bacterial small subunit ribosomal RNA", at positions 29 to 506 of the family's 1533-position model. The record is from RNAcentral.